This is a long non-coding RNA of Neomonachus schauinslandi (Hawaiian monk seal), 3372 nucleotides long. RefSeq lists it as uncharacterized. Lineage: Eukaryota; Metazoa; Chordata; Mammalia; Carnivora; Phocidae. The record is from RefSeq and is a predicted model, not a curated record. The transcript is spliced from 2 exons.
ACGAUUAAGACUUCAGAAGAGCAGGAAACUAUGCUGUGGAGAAACAACAUGGACAAAAGCAUAUGUAUAAAUGUCGUUUUUAAUUUUUGUAAGGGGUUAGGGAGCUAUUUUGUUUCGUUCCUUUAUUUUCCCUCUGUCUUCUUUGUUUUACCCAUCCUUCAGUUCUGCUUAGAGCACCUCACUUCCCCAGAGAAGGCCUGCCUCUCUGCGGAGAGCCAGGGUGGGUCCCGGCCUGGGGGGCAUGAAGACAGAAGGCAGCCUGUGGGCCACCUCCCCCCACAGACACAGGCGCUGCCGGACUCCGCGGGCCUCCCUCGGGCCUUAGAAAUGGUCAGAGGUGAAGAAGGACCUGGAAGAGGAAGACAGGGUUUGGCCCGGAGAACUCAAGAAAGAAAGUCUCAACUGCGGGGCCCUCAAAUACCAAGGCUGCUGCUGCUUCCUGGGCAGACGGUUGGCCGUGGUGAGCAGGGCUGCAGGUGGGAGCCGUGCCCUUCCCUUCCUUGUGAAAUCCUUCAUGCCCACCCGCCCCAUCUCCUCUCUGGCUUCUCAGGCCACCGGAGUGCACCCUGAGCCGCCCCCGGGAGGGUGGGGAGCACAGUGUCCCUGACUGCAGCGCACCCUCCUUCUCUGCCUCCCCUCCCCUCCCCUCCCCUUGGGGGCAGCUGAUGGUGAGAACUAGGGGACUGGUUCUCACCCCACGUUCCCUGGCUGCAGCCCCCGCCCUCAGGUUCUUGGUCAAGGCUCAGGCCUAACCUGAGGCCCUUUGCUUCAACUUCACCUCGGCCCUCCCCCGGUCUCUAACCUCCAUCUGGAUCAGGUCUCGGAGCUGCAGCGGUCCCCCUUCAUUAUUUCUCUUGGCAUCAAUGUAGCCCCCGUAGGUCACAGGAUGUCUCUGCCUUUUGGGCAAGGCAGGCAGCCUGGGAGGGCCAGCACUUAUCUUGCAGUCCUCAGCUACCCUUGCUUGGUGGCAGGUCCUCCUUCCCAGGCUCACGAUGGCCAGCUCGUUAGCCCCAAGUGCCUGUCUCUCCCUCUUGCUCCCUCCACCCCCGCCCCCCCACUUUGUCCACCCCGGGUGCCCAGCCAGCCAGGUGGACGUCAACCCCAAGUGAGCGCCGGCUCGGCCCACAGCCAGUGGACUAGCCUCGGUUGGACCCAGGUAGCUCCCAUCCGCUUCUCAGCCACCUUCCCCCUGUUCUCGCUGUGGGUCAGCCUGCUGCCUCUUCUUCCACCUCUUCAUCCUCUCCGCCUGCAGUUGGGGCCUGGCGGCAGCCCUGUGCCACCUCAUCUCAGCGCCACCACGUUCGUAAGGCCUGUGCAAGUUCUAGGAGUUCCAAACCUUGAAAUAGCAGUCACUCUCUUCUCCUUGGAUCUGUGAAACGGUUAGCCCGCAGCGGGGAGGUUCUGGGCCUGAGACCUCUGGGUCUUGAGCUCAGUAUCCCCCCCAGCGAGAGGACUCAGCAAGACAGAUCAUAGUGCCUUAUUCCACUGCCCUCGCUUGACCAGACCUGCUGGCUCCGCUGGAAGUCCGUGGCAUCCUUCUCCCUAUGUCUGUCUGUCACUUAACCUCUCGCUCCCGCCCACAGAGAGCCAUGAGGGAAGCCAGGCCCAGGGCUCCCGCCACCACCGGGACACUAAGCGCAGCUAUAGCCGAGGACAGAACAACCAUGUUUCCACCAGGUGGAUGCUCUCUGCCUCUCACUACCCAGCAGGCCCCCUGCCUCUUACCUCUAGCCAGGAGGAUGCUGCAGUCUGUCCGUUCAGGACUGGCUCCGUUUGACCCCUUUCUGGGCACCGGGGACGAAAGGCGCAGGCCUUAGCCCCCUUUCAUCCCAGAAGCAUUGGGACAGGAGAGUGGGACUUCUUUCCUCCCACCCAGACGUGGUUUGCCCCCGAUUGGCUGCCUUUCUGAGGGAGUGUAUUCAAUGUUUACUUAAGAAAUACCCUGUUUACAGCUAGAGGAGAAACGAGCCCAACACUGGCAGAGAUCUGACUCCUGAUGGGGCCUGGCCUCCUUUCGGGCACUGCCAGUGGGGGGUCCCAGAGCGAAUGAAGGCUGAGCCCGCAGGGGCGCGCGCCCUGCACCCCCUCUGCUCCCUGACCCCGCGGUGCUAAGACCACUCACACCACCUUCGCAGCCUUCUUGCCCCUGGACAUUCCCCACCUCCACCAUUCCCUUCCUCCCAAGUUCUCUGCUCCUUGACAUAUCAGCUGUUUCCUAGAAAACCAGUGUUUGGAGCAAUAAGAUUAUUUUUGCCUGAGUCUUUUUUCUGAGAAAAGGUAAAGAGCCGGCAUUGUAGGAAUGUUCUAUUUAUGCUGUUGCAGUUUACCUUUUCAGAAGACAGAUCUUUGUAGGACGGCUGUCUGGGUUUCAGCCUCAGAGUAUCUUUUGGAAACUUGGAACAGCAGGAGUUGGGCCUCCACCCCCUAAGAAGGGGACCCCUAACUCUCUGCCCUCACCUUGCUCCAUGCUGCCUGGGCUCCUGGCUCUGCCCACCAAGUGCGCCUGUCCCCUCUGAUCCUCCUUGUGCCCCCCCCCCCCGUACACACCCAUCUGGGGGCACCAGUGGCUCCUGGGUUAUUGCUCCCCCCUGACUCCCUUCCCCUCCCUUGGCCUGCGUGGUGGCCCCCAGACCACAGCGCUACUGGAGUCACCUAGGAACUGACAGCCUGACAACAGCCAAGCCUGGGGCUAAGGCCCGGAGAUGGCACCUUGGCCGUCCUCCCACACUGGGCCGAGGCACGGCCUCCGGGACGCCAGGCCCAUCUCUGAUCCUGCCUGCCAGGCUCGGAGGUCAGGGACUCCUGUCCAGAGAGAUGCCCUCAGAGGGAAAGCGAGGAGGUGGGACAGGAGGGCUGGCGAAUGUAAGCUUCCAAGGUCACCAUCGAGAGGUGAAGCCACUCCCACUGGUUACCCAGAGGCCCCCACAUCUUUUCCCAGGAGGGGCCACAUGAAAGGAAGGGAGUUUGUUCAGGAACGUUGUAAAGAACUCUUUAUGUGCCCCAGGGGGCCUCCUCCAUCACAGCCGGGGAGUAUGAGGCCACGAUUUAACAUGCAGGUGGGGACGACUUGGAUGUGAGGGAGGCACCGAGUAACCCAGGCACAAAGUUAGCUUCAGAUACUAGUUAAUCUAUUUUUCUUUAUUUUCUUUUUUUGCACAGAAGCUGGUAAUCUAGGACCUACGUGUGAACAACUUUAUAUGAAUAUUUUUUGUACUUGGUUUACUUGGGUUGGUAUGAUACAUUAUAUUUAAGUUCCUUGAACACUGUGGAUCCCCCUAAUGUGUAUGAAUGACUGAGGCUUUGUAAAUUAAGGGACGUUUGUGUGAAUAAAGUUAUUUGAUGGGGUCAAAGAAGCCAUAUGUGAUUUGAAAA